GCCAGUGUAGUGUAGUGGUUUGAAUGUUGGACUAGGACUCUGAGAGACCAGGAUUCAAAUCCCUGCUUAGCCA
Molecule: non-coding RNA, 73 nt
Organism: Phrynosoma platyrhinos (Desert horned lizard)
Lineage: Eukaryota; Metazoa; Chordata; Lepidosauria; Squamata; Phrynosomatidae
Source: the annotation of a GenBank genome assembly